CAGCAGCCACGGUAAUACGAAGGGUGCAAGCGUUACUCGGAAUUACUGGGCGUAAAGCGUGCGUAGGUGGUGGUUUAAGUCCGUUGUGAAAGCCCUGGGCUCAACCUGGGAAUUGCAGUGGAUACUGGGUCACUAGAGUGUGGUAGAGGAUAGUGGAAUUUCCGGUGUAGCAGUGAAAUGCGUAGAGAUCGGAAGGAACAUCUGUGGCGAAGGCGACUAUCUGGGCCAACACUGACACUGAGGCACGAAAGCGUGGGGAGCAAACAGGAUUAGAGACCCCCGUAGUCCCUGUCUCUUAUAA
Molecule: ribosomal RNA, 301 nt
Filed under: uncultured bacterium
Lineage: Bacteria
Description: partial 16S ribosomal RNA
Rfam family: Bacterial small subunit ribosomal RNA
Source: RNAcentral